GUGUUGGGGGAACCACUCACUUAAGGAACAUUGAUCGAACCUCUGCUGUCAACUAAGAGCUCGAAUAACCGAGGAUAUACACGGAGGGCGCCCCCUGUCCUGCCCCCAGGGGGCUCGUAGGAUCCCAAGGGACUGUGACCCAGGACCACGGUGGCAGGUUACGACAGAGGAGGCGGCUGGAUAAUUCAGGGUUGGCGGGGCUGGUGUGCUACAGGUGGGAAAGGGUCAGAGAAGUUAGGGAAAGCUUCCUGAUGGAAGUGACAAGGAGCCGAAGGUCCCCAAACCACUAGCAGCAGCGGAAGAGGGGAGUCUGAAGACGCCUGGCUUGGAAAGAGGAAGGGUGCUUCGGGUUGGGAUGCGUGCAGUUUGAGGUAUCGGUGAUACACCCAAGUGUAGACGAGCUCCGCGCCGCGGGGUGCGUAAGGGCGCGGGACCCAGCAGAGAGCCUGGGUGGGAGGGGUAGGUAACUGUGGUCGGUGUGGUAGAGAAUGCUACCUUCUUCUUUUUUCUUUUUUAAGGAUUUUAUUUAUUUAUUCAUGAGAGGCACACGGAGAGAGGCAGAGACACAGGCAGAGGGAGAAGCAGGUUCCCUGCAGGGAGCCCGACGUGGGACUCGAUCCCGGGACCCAGGAUCCCACCCGGAGCCAAAGGCAGAUGCUCAACCCCUGAGCCACCCAGGUGCCCCAGGACGCUACCUUCUUGAGGAUAAAAGCUUUGACCACCAGGAUUCCACGGGAUUAACGGGCACGGAUUUGAGCUGCAAUCAACACAACUGUUGAGAUGAUCAUCGCAGUCGAAGGUGGUUUUUGCUUUGUUUGAAGUGCUGUCCCAGUUGCUGAAGACUGACCAGCUCAUUCUGUGAUAAAGGAAAGGCCCAGGUACCUGCUCUGUGCAACAAGGAAGCCACCACCGCCCUGUGGGGCUGAGCACUUGGAAUGUGGCAAGAGCAGACAAGGGACCGAAUUUCGCAUUGUGUCUCAUUUCCAUUAAGUUUAUUAUUUUUUUAAGAUUGUGUUUAUUUAUUCAUGAGAGACACACGGAGAGAGACAGAGACACAGGCAGAGGGAGAAGCAGGUUUCCUGCAGGGAGCCCGACGUGGGACUCGAUCCCGGGACCCCGGGAUCUUGCCCGGAGCCUAAGGCAGACAGACGUUCAACCCCUGAGCCACCCUGGCAUCCCUCCAUUAAUUUAAGUUUAAACAGUUACACGAGGCCAGAGGUUUCCAUACCAGUCAGGACACUGCUGGAGCUGCUCUCAUGCUCCCUGGGCUUCUGCCAGCGGGGUCUGGGUCUCCUUCCUCCAGGAAGAGCCUGGAGGGUGUUGGCCGUGCGGGGACAGACGUCCCCAUCUGCUGAGUUGACAGGUGCACGCGGAGGGAGGCAUGCGCUGACCUCCGAACAGCACAGCUGGCCUCGCUCUCCAAGGAGUCCCAUCCCCCCACCUCCCAUCCCCUUCCAGGACCCGGCACGUGGGCA
Molecule: long non-coding RNA, 1475 nt
Filed under: Canis lupus familiaris (dog)
Lineage: Eukaryota; Metazoa; Chordata; Mammalia; Carnivora; Canidae
Description: lncRNA (ENSCAFG00030002331.1)
Source: RNAcentral